RNAcentral lists this ribosomal RNA (440 nucleotides) under uncultured bacterium. RNAcentral describes it as "partial 16S ribosomal RNA". It matches the Rfam family "Bacterial small subunit ribosomal RNA", at positions 338 to 795 of the family's 1533-position model. The record is from RNAcentral.
CCUACGGGAGGCAGCAGUGGGGGAUAUUGCACAAUGGGGGAAACCCUGAUGCAGCGACGCCGCGUGUGGGAAGACGGUCCUCUGGAUUGUAAACCACUGUCCCCAGGGACGAAGAUGACGGUACCUGGGGAGGAAGCUCCGGCCAACUACGUGCCAGCAGCCGCGGUAAUACGGAGGGAGCGAGCGUUGUCCGGAAUUACUGGGUGUAAAGGGAGCGUAGGCGGGUCUGCAAGUUGGGGGUCAAAUCUACCGGCUCAACCGGUAGCAGCACGCGAAACUGCAGUUCUUGAGUGAGGUAGAGGCAGGCGGAAUUCGUGGUGUAGCGGUGAAAUGCGUAGAUAUUAGGAAGAACCCCGGUGGCGAUGGCAGCCUGCUGGGCUUUUACUGACGCUGAGGCUCGAAAGUGUGGGGAGCGAACAGGAUUAGAUACCCUUGUAGUC